UCAUCAGUCGCUAUAGGCACCAUAGAUGUGGUUCAGUAGUGGCCUACUAUGUUGUAAAACUGAAAUUUAAAAGCAUCAUGGUCUAAUAUGUUGUGAAACUGAAUAAAACGUUACAUUUUGAGCACAAACAAAAAGGCUUCUUUAGGUUCAGUCAAUAAAACUACAUCUUAUUUUGGUAUAGGCAACACAACUACAACUUCUUUAGGUUUAGGCAAUAAAACUACAACUUCUUUAGGUUUAGGCUAA
Long non-coding RNA from Sebastes umbrosus (honeycomb rockfish), 246 nucleotides. RefSeq lists it as uncharacterized. The record is from RefSeq and is a predicted model, not a curated record. Lineage: Eukaryota; Metazoa; Chordata; Actinopteri; Perciformes; Sebastidae. The transcript is spliced from 2 exons.